Molecule: long non-coding RNA, 9557 nt
Filed under: Homo sapiens (human)
Lineage: Eukaryota; Metazoa; Chordata; Mammalia; Primates; Hominidae
Description: non-protein coding lnc-BOD1-1:10
Source: RNAcentral
AUAAGAUGCAGACUAGAGCCAGGCGUUUCCCGGGCCCCUGCUCCUCAGUGGUGCAGCCACAAGCAGAAUUUUCAGAAGCAUGGAUGGGAUUUCCGACUUCAUCUAGACUUCACAUCCGCUUUGUUCAGAAAAGAAAACUCAGGCCCGGAGACGGAUAGUUAGUGAUUUGCCAAAGGUCGUGUAGACAUCAGUAUUGCUGCCAUCCCAGGAGCCAGACUCAAAUCUCCUUACUGACCUGUCUAUCUCAACACCCUUUAGAAAGAGAGCCACCAACACUGGAGUUGGAGAGGCUAGGGGUUUGUUUGAACAGAGAAGGGAUAGUGUGAGGUCAAGGAUGCAAAUUUCUAAAAUUCUGAGCUGGGUUAAAAGAAAAAUCUUUCUCUACUGUGGUAAUAUCCACAUUGGAACAAGGGACCCUCCUCUCAUCCCUUCAUCACCAGACUAUAUUCAAGUCACGUAUCCCCACCCAGAGGGAAAGGUUAGCUGCAGAUGAAGAAGAUGGAGCACAAACACUAUUAUUGCCUGAUUCACUUUGUGGAAAAUUUUCUAAUCCUGGCCCUGCCAUUUCCUGGCUGCGUGUGUGUGGUGCAGCAAGUGGGGCCAGGGGACAACUGAUGGUUUAGCAUUUGCAGAUGAGUUCCCUAUGAGCAUGUGUAGUCCAAGUACACACUCCACAUGCAGAAACACGCAAAUGUGCAUGCAUGCACCAUGCCCUUAUGUAGAGAUCAUGUGUACAACUGCAGAGAUCAUUUCCACACACCAUGCACACAGGUGCAUAUCUAUGCAUUUACAUCCCAGCCUCAUAUUCUCUCCACAGGCACAAAGACUCAUACACCAGCACCUUCUUCCAAUAUAUCACACCUACCAAGCACAUACUUGCAUAUGUAGUACAUUGAUAUAGCAAUAUACCCACAGAAAACAUUUCUGUGGUAAUUUUGCAAAGAUCCCAAGAAGCUGAAAACAAACAUUAGGUGGCAUAUUCUCUGUCCAUUCUAAAGUGAGGAGCUUGGGCUCUCACCAGCUUGAGAAUCCUGGCAUAGCCAGGCCAUGUGGAGUAGCGGGCACGCUGUGAGGGACAAGAGAUUACAGCGAGCUCAGAAGCAGAGCAAGGUAUUUAUCUUCCCCCUCCCCAUUGAGUAGAACUAGAACAAGGAUUUGAUUUUGCCUUAAAUCAAAAAGCCUCUCUUUUGGUUUUGCCUCUUAGCUGAAUGCAAGGGGGAAAAGCGGGAGAGAUUCCUGCAGGAAAACAUGAAGAACGGGGAAAGUAGCUGCCGCAUGCCAAUGUGAAACUCCGAGGAGUCUAGCCAUUCUGAUCUGGCCUUCCAGGUCAUUAGGAGGCUCUGCCAUCGUGUGAGGAGAAUUGUUUUAGAGAAAAUGAUCUGGACCAGAGGGAAUGAGUCUGGACCAGACCUCGACACUGCCCCAAUGAAAGAACUUGAGAACACUGGUCCCGUCUUCCCCUCUAAUCUCCCCUCUUUCCAUCGCCUCUCCCGGUGCCCUGGGCUCCACUUACAGGCCCCUGAGCAACCACUGCAUUUUUGCACAUGCUGCUUCCACCCAGGAUGGAUGGCUUUUCCCUCCUUUCUUCACCCCACCAGCUUUCUCCUUCAGGUGCCAGCUUAGUCCCUGGCUCCUUGGGUCCCUCCCACUUGUCCCCCGGCUGUAGCUUUCAUGCCUCCUCUGUACUUCCCAAGCUCUAGAGUGUCCUUCUAUAAACAGACUCUGUGUACCGUACUGUGGGCUGAUUGCUACCUGUCUGUCUCUUGUCAUUGCUGGCAAGCAAUUUGGGGUAGUGAUUACGUUUUAUUCACCUCUCUGUUCCAGUGUGCAGCUCGGACAUGGAGGGCAGAAGGUGCUCAGGAAGGAUCUUCUGCAUGCAGGAGCCUCCUCUCUCGAAGGGUGUUCUCCAAUCAUGAGCUUAUUUGCUGUUUACAUGCCCGAGGAGGACUGACCUUAGCAGCUAUGAUGACCUCAUUUAUCACUGUGGAUAAGCACUUGGCCAGGGUCUCAGCCAGCACCCCAGGCCCAGCCUCCUGGUUUACUCAUUUCUGGGGGUGGUGGCAUCUGCCCACUGUCCUGAACUUUCCUCUGCUUGGGUAGGGACAGGGAGCCCCAGCAGCACUUGUUCCAGGAUGACCCAGCAAAUUGCAAGGUGGCAUUUGGCCUUUUCCUCAGCAAUUGCCAGACUUUGUCCCAGGGUGAGGAGGAAGCCGUACUGCCAACAAGAAGGCCCAAUCAAGAUCCUCCCACAACAAGAGCAGAUUGUGAGCGUGGCAAGCUCUAUGCUGAGCACUGGAAGGACAAAGAGAGAUUGGGCACAGACUUCUCACUGAUCCAGGUGAUGAAGAGCUCACAUCUGAGAGGAUGUGACCAUGGAUGACCCACCAGAAUGUCAUGGGAUCCAGCUACAGCCAAGGAAGCACAGAGCACCGUGGGAGCGAUUUAUUGUGCUUGGGGAUGGGGAAGGGGACAUGGGAGGAGCCAUAUUGAGAAAGUAGCAUGGGUACUUGGCUUCACAGAGUGUGGCAGCUUUCAUCAGGAAGUGAUGGUGGGGGAACAGCGUCUCUGGCGGAGGGAAGCAGCAGGUGCAAAAACAAGAACAUCGUGACGUCAGAGCAGGGGUGGGGAGAAAUCUCCCUCGAGAUCUCCGUGGGCACCGGAAAUAGAAACUGCUCCCUUUGAAGCAUCUAUUAGAAGAUCCAAGUCUCUAACAGAUCACCAUGAGAUUUCAAUUCAGUUCCUAUUAAGCACCAACUGAACGCAUGUGAGAAUGUCAGGGAAUCAGUUGGUGAAGAGGCAACCGUUUUAAUUUAAUUUUAUUUAUUUGAACAGAGUAAGCCUCUGUUCAAUCCUGACUCAUCUUCUUUCUUCUCUUACUACCCAUUUGCCCUUGAGCAGUUCACUUAAACUUUCUGACCCCAUUUCCUCUUCAGUAAUAAUAAUUCUUGUCUCAUUGAGAUAGUGUGAGGGCUUAAAGGGAAUUACAUUUUUCAAAAGCAUCUUGCACAGAUCUGGCACAGUCAGUGGUAGGUCUUCUUAGCAUAAGGAUAUAAAAAGAUCUUUCUGUAAGGUUGGUGUGGGGAUUAAAUUGGAUGACAUAUCUUUACUUUCAAGCAAGCUCUGGACUGAGCUCUUACUAAGGUUUCAGCUAAGGAGAGAGAUUUCUUUCCUCCUCUCUAGACACUGGGGUAACUGGUUCUGGUCCCCCAGUGUUCUGGUUAGUAGAACUAAAUACGUACACGCACAAUGAAUGUUUACACAACAUCCGCUCAUUCCAUUCCACAAAUAUUUCUUUUAACAUUGAGAACGAGCUCUGGGGCCCUACCAGAAGAUUAGGGGAUGAACGCAGCUUGCAAGGCCAAAGCUGUCCCCAUUUGGUUUUGCCAGCUCUUGCUCAUCCAUGAAAUAAACCGGAUGAAGCCUUCAUCCAGCCCUUGUUUUGAGAAGGAGGCAAGCAGAGAGCGUGGAUUUAAUGUGGCAGAUGGUGCUGUCCUUGAAUUAUGAAACCAAAGGAGGAAAUUAAAGUGCUCCAUUGCAACAGAUAUGGGCCAGCCGGGGCAGAAGGCAGGAGGUGGGGCAGAAAGGAGGGCAGGAAGGAGGUGCUGUAUCAACUGGGCAAUGGCUAUUUUCAAGGGUAGCUGGAGUCCUAAGAUAAUAGAAUUCCGUAGCCCCAUAUAAUUUUAGAAUCUUCAUCUUACAUAGGCAAAUGAGGCUCAGAGAGGGAAAGUGACUGUGAAGGUCACACAGCCAGUUAGUGGCAGAGCAACUCACACGUCACUGAAAUUUCCUGAGCACCUGCUCAAGGAAAAACCAUACCCCACGCACUGUGCUCAAGUUGUAUUCUUUGUACUUGCCUCACAGUGAAUUUGUGAGAUGGGAUCACCAACCCAUUUUAUGGACGAGGAAAUGGAAGUUGGACAGACUAUACCACUGUUCAGGGAGACACAGCUAGAAUCUGAACCCAGACCUCUCUGACUCCAUGGCCCAGACUUUCUCUGUCUCCUGGGUCUAGAACUCUGUGUUCCGGUUUGGGCAGAAGGUGGGGCCAGUUGGACCAUUCAGAGGGCCCUGGCUCAGGGUGCCAUCCCUACCCCCAGAUCUUCCACCUGCAGCCACAGGCAGAAGUCUUCUCCACUGCAAGGUGAUAAAGCAGACAGCCCAGCUGGCCGUCCUCUCCUCACUCGCUGCCAUCCUAUUUAGUGGCCAUCUGGCUUUCAUCUCUGUGAUUCUCGGACUGUCCCUCCUCGAGGUCCCUCUUAAAGAGGCAGACACACUGGCUUCAGUAAAGGACCUCCACUCCCAAGCCAAUGCAUCCCCAGCCUUUACCAGGACAAGCCUAACAAAGAAAAGGCCACACAACAGGGGUUUCUGGUAGCAACACAAGUCUAUUUCAAACCUCGGAUUAGAGUAUCCGAAAGAAUUACCUGUUCCAAGCAAACACGUUCCCACCCUCUGGCAGAAAUGCGGUUGGAGCAGCCUGACGCCACGGCAGACUCCAAAUACUCUCCACUGAAGCUUGCUUUAUCCUGUUUGAAACUCCUCUGUCUGUCCCCAGAGAGUCUGGAAAUACACUCUUUCUAGGAGCUGAUGGAAAAUUAACCCACAUUAUGAGAGAGCUAGUUGAUGCUGCAUUGGGGACAGGAAGGUCCAUUUGAAAGGGGGAAAAAACAACAACAAAAAAAACAUAAACAAUAGGGCAGAGGAAGCAAUCGGAUAGGCAUUUGCUUCAGGUGAGCAGAGGGAUGACUUUCUGUCCCACAUCUGUGAAGAUCAGCUGUUGGUUUACAUUGCCAGGGUGAAAUUCAACAGAACUAAUUUAGGGUGAAGAUCUUGAGGCCCACAAGGAAUUUCCUUGUGGGAAAAUUGUGAGGAAGCUUAUUUUUCAUAUAUGCUGUUUUAAUCUGGCAGCUCUACUGUCCAAGCAAGGUAGAGAUGAACUGUGUGCUCUUUUCCAAGGAGCUAAUCUCAUCAGAUAGAGAUUUUGCUUUUGUUCCAUCAAAAGUCUUGCUCACUUACCAAGGGAGCUUGGAUAUGAGAGAACUGAGGCCCAAAGAAAUGCUGCAUGUACCCAAAAGCACCCGUAGGGGACUAUCCUGGUGGUACAAUCAUAGAGUGGAGUUCUACGUUGUCAUCAAGAAGGCUCUUUACAUAUCACCAUGAAAAAAAUCUCAGAGAAAAAUACGGAUCAGGAUACUAUGUUGAGCAUGCUACAAUUAGUGCAAAACUGGACAAAAGGAAGAAUGUAUUAUAUAUAAAAUUUAUAUUUGCAUAAAACAUCACUGCAAGAUGACGCAUGAAACUGAAAGCAUUGGCUGCCUUGAGGGAGGAGGAGGAGUGUGUGCCUGAGAGACAGGGUGGAAGGGAGGUUUGUCAUGAUUGACUCGUUUCACUUUUCAAAUGUGGAACAAUAUGAGUAUGUUCCCUACUAAUAAAUGAAUGGUUAAAGUGUUUUAAAGAAUCCUUUGAAAACCACCUUCUUGGCCCUCGCCAAGCCUCAGCUUCCUCAUUUAUGAAGUGGGCAUAGUGGUCCUAUCUAUUUCACAGGAUGCUGGUAAAGAUCAAACGAGCUGAUCCAAGUGUCCCCUGAAGUGCUACACCAGCCAUUUAGCAACCUCGCCAUGCGCCACCUGCAUGCAGCCUGGAGUGGCAAAGGCCCUGAAGACGCUGAAGCUGUUGACCUUUUCCUCUUUUUCAGGAACAUGGUCCCUGGGAGUCAUUUUCUUUCAUCAUCCACAAAUAAGAAAAGACGUUGUUACAUUAGCUCCAAGAUAGCUCUUUCCACAAUGGGAAAUUUCUGCUGACAGUCACUAAGGAAACACAGGCCCACCGGGUGGGGCUCUCGGCCAGCAUCUUGAAGGCGGGUACAGGAAGCAACUCACUAGUGACUUUGAGUGUCACCUAGCAGGUCACCACUGCCUCAGGAGUGGCUGGCAAGGGCAGCGCAGGCCUCCACAGAUCGGAUGAGAGAAGAGAAGUGACUUCCCCAUGGUCACAUGUCUAGUUGGCAAUGGAAGUGGGAUUCAAGUCCAGUUCCACCUGACUUCAAAGCUUAUUCCUGUUUGACUUCACCCUGCUGCCUCUAAGAUAAAGGGGAGAUCAGGAGAGCAGAAUGGUUGCUUCCCCAGAGGAACAUGUGGUCUCAUUUUCUGCUUAGGGAUAGCUCACAGGAUUCAUGAAGUGGUCACCAGAGGAUAAGGACCAACCAGGUUAACGUGAAGAAAACACCCAGCUGCAGCUGUUUAAUGAGCAACUCGAAGCUGUGGAUAAGAUUCUUGGAGGCUGAAAGAACACAUGGAGAGCAGUGUUUUUCCAGCUUCUGUGUUGGUAAGAGCCUGGAGUCUCUCUCUCUGUCUCUCUCUCUCUCUCUCUCUCUCUCUCACACACACACACACACACACACAGAGCAAUCACUGCACCCAGCCACCUCUAUAUACAUGUACACAAAGCCACACAGUUUACACAGUCACAGGUAUUUAAGUACACACUAUUCACACACAAAUACAUAUAUAGACACACAUGUACAGUCCGUCCAAAAUAUAUGUACAUAAAAGCACACUAUUACACCUUCAUAUGUGCACACACACACACACCCAGACUCACUUCAUACACACAUAGAUACAACAGCCACAGCUCCCCAUCACCUACACACACACACACACACCUGGACACCCAGCUCUAAUAUAAUCAGAUAGAGAUAUGCAUGCAGACAAAUUUGCCUGUAUAGUCAAACACAUAGGCAAAUAGAGAACGAGACACCACAUGAACAAAGGCAAACCUACACACAAAGACACAGAGCACACUUACGCAUAUAUCUAUAGACCCACCAUGGCACAUAUGGGUAAGUGCACACAGGCAAACUCACACACACGAGCAUGCACAGGCAGAGAACACAAAUGUACACUCCCAGGUGUCAUAAAGAACAGCCCAGCUUCGGCUUGGGAACGUCACAUCAGACAAUAGGAACGGCUGCACCGCGCGUUUCCUCGGCUGCCAGCUUCCCAGCCACAGAGGAUGCCUCACCUGCUAUGUCAGCUCCCCUCUGCCCCACCUCACAAGAAGCUCAGAAGCUGAGGAGUCACAGAGAGACCUCCCUACUGUGUCAGAGGCAUUUUAGGACCCAAAGGGACCUAAGAGAGUGCUCAGACAGCUGGCUGCGUUAGGAGCUACCUGUGGCUGCUGAAGAAGAGUUUGCGUCAAUUUAAAGAAAGAGCCAUUCAAGGAAUGAGGACCAUGACCUUGGCUGCACUGACCAGCUGGGCUCUGGAGACUCAGUGAGGCUGCCCAGCCACCAACAGGCCCUGCACAAUAGAUCCACGGACCCAGCAGUCAGAGGUGACCCUAGGGGUCACUGGCCCGUGGCUAAGGAGGAGGAGCACAGACCUGCGACCCCCUUUUCCCAUGGACCACCCAGGGAGGCUGAGCGGGGACUCUGAGCUCAGAUGGACAACCUCAGAGCCACUGGGAAUUUGCCUGAGGCCACUGGGGCCAGGGUUAAAUCCAUAUGAAGCAGCGCGGGCUGUGCACCUGCCAUUUUCUAGGCUCUGUCACAUGCAUCUUUCUGCCAAAUCUCAUGGUGAUCCUUCAAGAAUAGUACUAUUAAUCUCCCCAUUGACAGAGGGAGAAAGGGAGGCUCAGAGACGUUAAGUGUCUCACCAAAGCUCACACAGCUUCCAAGCAAUAGAACUUUACUCAGUACUCAGUACAGGUUAACAUUUAUUCAUUCACUCGAUAACCAUUUGCAGCACAGCUACCAUAUGCCAGGCAGUGUUCUAGGCACUUAGAAUACAUAGAUGAGCAAAACAGGCAAAACCUUUCCCUCAGGGCGUUACCAUUUGAGUGCCACCAUGCCACGGCUGGUACAGUUGCUAUUGAGACAAACAAAAUAAGACCCAGUUUUUGCCUUUGGGGAGUAGGUAGUCUAGUGGAGGAGGCACAUACACAGAAAAUUCCAAAGUACUGUGGAAAUCUCAGGGUACUUUGAUAGGGAUUACCAGAGGAGCUGUGAGAAUAAAGGCUGGAUAUCAGGGAAGGCUUCCUGGAAGAGGUGUUGCCUGAAAUGAGCCUGGAAGGAUCACUUAGGGACAGAAAAGUCAUUCCGUGUAGAAUUCAUGGUGAGUGACAGAGCCUAAACCCAGUCUCUUUUGCAUGCUGAGCACUGAGACCCAGACGCUGGUGCUCAGACCUGAUGACUUAUUUUCCCAGGUACAGCUUGAGCAAAGACACAGAAGCAGAAGGCAGGUUUUUGGUUCCAUGAACUCUACAUCUGGCUACAUACAAAUGGUGAAGAGGAACAGGGAGAAACAUGGUUGAAAAGAACAGGCUUGGACUUCAGGAAGCAGUAAAAUGAGCGAAUGCCAUUUAUGGUUACAAAGAUAACUCAGCUGGGGGCCAAACAGAGACUGAAAUGGAGUGGGUGAGGAUGGAGGCCGGGAGGAGAUGGCUGCAGAGGUCCCAGCAAUGACAGUGGUUGUGGGAAGGGGCAACCCCAAGUCUUGUGCUCCCAACUGCAAAUCCAGUGCUUUUUCUAAAAAAAUAUUUAAAUAAUUUAUUUAUUUUUGAGAUGGAGUCUCGCUCUGUCACCCAGGCUGGAGUGCAGUGACACAAUGUCGGCUCGUGCAACCUCUGCCCCCCGGGUUCAAGCGAUUCUCCUGCCUCAGCCUCCCAAGUAGCUGGGAUUACAGGCUUGUGUUUAAGCUUUAUUACAAAUAUAACUUUGAUCCUUCUGCUACUUGCAAUUCUAAAUUUGAUAUUACGAGUCUCAGCCUCAUCGGCGUUGAUGCGUGUGACCGACAUUGAUUCACUCUCACCAGUACGUGGUGUGUUCCGUUGCAUGCAUGCACCCCUGCUGGGGUAUCCAUUCUCCUGUUGGUGGACCUUUGGGUGGUAUUAGUUGCUGGUCAUCUCCAUGGUGCUGUCCUCUUGCAGGUCUCCAGGACACAUGUGCAUGAGUUCCUCUAGGAAACCACGGUGUACAACUGCUGGGUUGCAGGCCCAGGGUUCUUUCCACUUCUCUAUCCUCCCAAGUAGGGUCCAGCUGGCCUUAGUGCUGCCAUGCUGAGAGCUCUGGGAGGGGCAACCCAGGGCAGACAGGCCCAGGCCAGCCACCCUGCCCCAGGCAUUUCCCAGGACUCAUCAGGCACCCAGCGGCCCCUCAGCAGUGAGCAAUACCAGAAAUCUGCCAGCUGGCUACUAACUGGGUCACUUAGCAGAAGCAGAGUCUUUUAAUAGACCUCCAGAGGUUAAUGGGCCUGACAUAUCUUUGACAUUUAUUGGAUUUUACGAGCUAGUGGAUCUGACUCAGAAAGCCGAUCAGAUGUUCCAAAUCGAUGGCCCCUUUGGGGUGCUGUCUUCGCACAGAGCCAUAAUGAGGUGACCUUGGAUGCCUGAGUCCGGAAAGAACAGAAAGAGGAUGUCAGAAUCGUAGAAAUUGCUAAACUGAUCAAGGCCUACACAGUGCCUUCAGGCUCGCUCCUGGCCCCGAGAUGCUUUGCCCACGGAUUCUGUAACUGUACGUUCCUCUUGCCUCACCGUGCCCGAACAGUUACAAUCAUUAGUCU